Maylandia zebra (zebra mbuna) is the source of this 167-nucleotide non-coding RNA. The record is from RefSeq and is a predicted model, not a curated record. NCBI's taxonomy places the organism in Eukaryota, Metazoa, Chordata, Actinopteri, Cichliformes, Cichlidae.
CCGUUAGCCAGCAGUUUGUCUCCUAAAAGAGAGCUGUUUAGAGAGGCAGUUUUGAAUUUAGGAGCAGCAAGAUGGAAGCGGCAAACCCUGGCGAUUCUCCGAUUAUGCAAGAUGUAAUUAUUCAGUCAGCAAGACACUUGCUGCAGUUGCUGACAUCAUCCAACUGA